Molecule: ribosomal RNA, 159 nt
Filed under: Colletotrichum gloeosporioides
Lineage: Eukaryota; Fungi; Ascomycota; Sordariomycetes; Glomerellales; Glomerellaceae
Also listed under: 1 other name
Description: 5.8S ribosomal RNA
Rfam family: 5.8S ribosomal RNA
About the family: 5.8S ribosomal RNA (5.8S rRNA) is a component of the large subunit of the eukaryotic ribosome. It is transcribed by RNA polymerase I as part of the 45S precursor that also contains 18S and 28S rRNA. Functionally, it is thought that 5.8S rRNA may be involved in ribosome translocation.
Source: RNAcentral
AAAACUUUUAACAACGGAUCUCUUGGUUCUGGCAUCGAUGAAGAACGCAGCGAAAUGCGAUAAGUAAUGUGAAUUGCAGAAUUCAGUGAAUCAUCAAAUCUUUGAACGCACAUUGCGCCCGCCAGCAUUCUGGCGGGCAUGCCUGUUCGAGCGUCAUUU